Hypoxylon sp. FL1150 is the source of this 72-nucleotide non-coding RNA. The record is from the annotation of a GenBank genome assembly. NCBI's taxonomy places the organism in Eukaryota, Fungi, Ascomycota, Sordariomycetes, Xylariales, Hypoxylaceae.
GCCUCUAUGGCGCAGUGGUAACGCGUUGCACUUGUAAUGCAAAGAUCCCUCGUUCGAUCCGGGGUGGAGGCA